This 76-nucleotide transfer RNA is filed under the name Trichonephila inaurata madagascariensis. RNAcentral's name for it is "tRNA-Arg". It matches the Rfam family "tRNA". Rfam says of the family: Transfer RNA (tRNA) molecules are approximately 80 nucleotides in length. Their secondary structure includes four short double-helical elements and three loops (D, anti-codon, and T loops). Further hydrogen bonds mediate the characteristic L-shaped molecular structure. tRNAs have two regions of fundamental functional importance: the anti-codon, which is responsible for specific mRNA codon recognition, and the 3' end, to which the tRNAs corresponding amino acid is attached (by aminoacyl-tRNA synthetases). tRNAs cope with the degeneracy of the genetic code in two manners: having more than one tRNA (with a specific anti-codon) for a particular amino acid; and 'wobble' base-pairing, i.e. permitting non-standard base-pairing at the 3rd anti-codon position. The record is from RNAcentral. Lineage: Eukaryota; Metazoa; Arthropoda; Arachnida; Araneae; Nephilidae.
GUCCCUAUAGCGCAAUGGAUUGCGCGUUGGACUUCUAAUCCAAAGGUCGUGGGCUCGGAUCCCACUUGGAUGGACU